Molecule: ribosomal RNA, 202 nt
Filed under: unidentified microorganism
Description: partial 16S ribosomal RNA
Source: RNAcentral
GGUUAUGACCACAGGUUCGGCAAGAACCGCGAGGGGGAUUUUGAAUAUCUCCGGGAGUAUGCCGCGAAGUAUGAUUUUAGGAUCGAACGGCUGGAUCCAUUGUUGGUCAAUGAGGCCCGUGUCAGUUCCACCCGGAUCAGGAAGGCUCUCGAAUCGGGAAAUGUCAGGAUGGCCAAUGAAUACCUUGGCUACCCCUUUGAAC